This 673-nucleotide ribosomal RNA is filed under the name uncultured Inocybe. Its description in RNAcentral is "eukaryotic LSU rRNA". The stretch from base 301 to 454 matches the Rfam family "5.8S ribosomal RNA". The record is from RNAcentral. Lineage: Eukaryota; Fungi; Basidiomycota; Agaricomycetes; Agaricales; Cortinariaceae.
AAGUCGUAACAAGGUUUCCGUAGGUGAACCUGCGGAAGGAUCAUUAUUGAAUAAACUUGCACAGGCUGUUGCUGGCCCUCUCUGGAGGGUAUGUGCACGCUUGUCAUCUUUAUCUCUCCAACUGUGCACAUAUUGUAGACCUGGAGCUUUUGUUGAUUCAUUUCGAGUUGGGACUGCUGUGCUUUGUAAAUCAUGGUCGGCUUUCCCUUUUCAUUUUUCAGGUCUAUGUCAUUUUCACAACCUCUUGAAUGUGUUAGAAUGUCGAACCAGGUGCUUUUGUACCUAUAAAGUUAAAUAUACAACUUUCAGCAACGGAUCUCUUGGCUCUCGCAUCGAUGAAGAACGCAGCGAAAUGCGAUAAGUAAUGUGAAUUGCAGAAUUCAGUGAAUCAUCGAAUCUUUGAACGCAUCUUGCGCUCCUUGGUAUUCCGAGGAGCAUGCCUGUUUGAGUGUCAUUUAAGUUCUCAACCACAUCAAUUCUUUGGUGAGGCUUGGACGUGGGGGGUAUUUUUGCGGGCUUCUGAAAAUUUGAAGUCGGCUCCCCUGAAAUGCAUUAGUGGUAUCUGAGCAGAAGAAACUACUACAGGUGUGAUAAUUAUCUAUGCCUCAGUAUGCUGCAUAAUCAGAUUGCACUGCUUCUAACGAGUGGAGAUCCCUUUUGGGGGGACCACAUU